Molecule: ribosomal RNA, 603 nt
Filed under: uncultured archaeon
Lineage: Archaea
Description: bacterial SSU rRNA
Rfam family: Archaeal small subunit ribosomal RNA
Source: RNAcentral
CGCAGCAGGCGCGAAAACUUUACAAUGCGGGCAACCGUGAUAAGGGAACCUCGAGUGCCUGUAAAUGCAGGCUGUUUAGGUGUUUAAAACGCACCUGGAGAAAGGGCCGGGCAAGACCGGUGCCAGCCGCCGCGGUAAUACCGGCGGCUCGAGUGGUGGCCACUUUUAUUGGGCUUAAAGCGUUCGUAGCUGGGUUGUUAAGUCUCUUGGGAAAUCUGGCGGCUUAACCGUCAGGCGUCUAAGGGAUACUGGCAAUCUUGGAACCGGGAGAGGUGAGGGGUACUUCGGGGGUAGGAGUGAAAUCCUGUAAUCCUCGAGGGACCACCUGUGGCGAAGGCGCCUCACCAGAACGGCUUCGACAGUGAGGGACGAAAGCUGGGGGAGCAAACCGGAUUAGAUACCCGGGUAGUCCCAGCCGUAAACUAUGCGCGUUAGGUGUAUCGGUGACCACGAGUUGCCGAGGUGCCGCAGGGAAGCCGUGAAGCGAGCCACCUGGGAAGUACGGCCGCAAGGCUGAAACUUAAAGGAAUUGGCGGGGGAGCACAACAACGGGUGGAGCCUGCGGUUUAAUUGGACUCAACGCCGGACAACUCACCGGGGACG